Eurytemora carolleeae is the source of this 491-nucleotide long non-coding RNA. RefSeq lists it as uncharacterized. Lineage: Eukaryota; Metazoa; Arthropoda; Copepoda; Calanoida; Temoridae. The record is from RefSeq and is a predicted model, not a curated record. The transcript has 2 exons.
AGUUAAUAAUGUAACGACAUUAGCAUUAGUAACAGAAUCCCCUCAUAUAAAAACUUAUUUGCAAAAAGGUAUGGUAUGUAAUUGAUGUUUCCAGUACUGCGGCAAUUUGGCAAGAAUCAUCAUGAAGCUGUUGUCAGCAUCAAUCAGAAUGAAAAUGUAUGUUUUACUGAGUUUUUGCUUUCUGGAUAAGACCAUUGGAAAAUCUUUUCUUAUAGAAACUUCUCAGAAUAAGGUGCAUGGUAGUGACUAUCAGUUCAAUGCCCUGUUUCCAGGCGUGGAAGCUGAUUUACAACGUCAAGUAGAUCAAGCUGCAAGAACAGCAGCAGAUGAGUUGGCACGCAACCUUGAAUCCCAAGUUAGCAACCUUGAAUCCCAAGCUAGAUAUCAAAAUUAUUACAAUGGAUACUAUUACUGACCCUAGCAUGUUUGUCACUAUGCUUUUAGAAUCUGACAUCUUAAUGAUAAAUAUAAUAGCAAUUUGAAGAAUAAGA